RNAcentral lists this unclassified non-coding RNA (350 nucleotides) under soil metagenome. Its description in RNAcentral is "partial contains 5.8S ribosomal RNA, internal transcribed spacer 2, and large subunit ribosomal RNA". The stretch from base 1 to 120 matches the Rfam family "5.8S ribosomal RNA", at positions 35 to 154 of the family's 154-position model. The record is from RNAcentral.
GAUGAAGAACGUAGCGAAAUGCGAUAAGUAAUGUGAAUUGCAGAAUUCAGUGAAUCAUCGAAUCUUUGAACGCACAUUGCGCCCGCCAGUAUUCUGGCGGGCAUGCCUGUUCGAGCGUCAUUUCAACCCUCAAGCCCAGCUUGGUGUUGGGGAUCGGCACAGGCGCCCUCGGGCGCCCGCCGUCCCCUAAAUCUAGUGGCGGUCCCGCUGCAGCCUCCUCUGCGUAGUAGUUUUCUCCUCGCAAGUGCAGCUCGGUGGCGACCUCGCCGUAAAACCCCCAACUUCUGAAAGGUUGACCUCGAAUCAGGUAGGAAUACCCGCUGAACUUAAGCAUAUCAAUAAGCGGAGGA